ACCCCGACACCCUGGAGGGCGCUAUGAAACUGGCCGAGGACUACGAGGACUCCCUAGUUUCUGCCCGGACCGGGAUACUGUCGGCUCCUGCCCUUCGGAACAACCGACCCUCAUCUCUCUCUCCUCCAACACCACCACCACCAUCAAUCCCGGGACCCAGACCUCCGACCCCAAUGGGCCACCUUGCCUCCCCUCCAUGGAGACCAAGGUUGGCCCCCAGCUGGGGUAGAGGUGCUGCCCCUGCCCCGUUGCCAUACCAGCAGCGGGAUAGACACUUAACCACUGUUUCCUCUGUCCCCCCGAUUUGUUUUAGAUGCAACCAACAGGGACAUCUGGCCAGGUCAUGCCCCGCUGCCAUGGAGUGUGACGUGGCCGUAUGUAAUUGGACACCUGAGAUAGAAAAACAAAUAAGGAGAGACGGACCGCAAAAUGGGAGGGAGCAUCCCUGAGACAAGGCUGGGGUCUGGUGGAAGAGUGCUUGAAUAGUGUCAUCGUGCGGGAGAGACCUUACCGGAUCCCAGAAAGUUGACGAAGUGGCGUUCGCAAAGAGGUAUGGGACCGGCGCCUCCUUAAGACUCACCUCUUCAAACAGCACCUGUAGAACUCCUCUGUUUGUAUCCUGGGACACUAUCACCCUUCAUGUAAAUGUGCUUUAUUUUGCUCUUAUCUGCCCCCUAUUUUACUGCAUUUAAUCCUGUCCUUCAGAAUACUGUAAU
RNA transcript from Acipenser ruthenus (sterlet), 716 nucleotides. It is a transcript of the gene named splicing factor 1-like, with no coding region annotated. The record is from RefSeq and is a predicted model, not a curated record. The transcript is spliced from 3 exons. Lineage: Eukaryota; Metazoa; Chordata; Actinopteri; Acipenseriformes; Acipenseridae.